GUUAAUGUGAACCAUGGAAAAACCCACAUGCGGAGCAGCAGCAAAAACUUCAUCUGCACGCAGCACAACAAACAAACAUCACACACACGAAGAAGUUUCUGAGGUCCCAGUCCUAGCUCCAGUACUUCCUUCUUCCCAGAAAACCCGCCCCUUCCCUUGCAAGGCGAGCUGCUGGGCAAACUCGGAGAAGCCUUCUUCCCAGUUAGGGCUCCCCAAGCCGUCCCCAGCUGUGGACACUUGCGCGAGCCCGGGAACGCGCCCUGGAUGACUUACACUUCCAUGUCGACCCCGAGUUGUCGCCUCCGCCCGCCAGCACACACGCAGCCUCACGCUACGCCGCCACCGCUUCCGCCCGCCUCACAGCGCACCGGGUAGCCGGCUCCGCGCGCCGCGGGGCACGUCGGGAUCGCCGCGCUGCAUGCCGGGAACCUGGCGGACCGGGCCGGAGACCUCAAUGCAGCCAGACUUCUGUGCACUUCACGUUGCGGGGCUUGAAACUGUUGAGGGACGCCUGGUGGAAGCGCAAGGCGGCUUUGUGCUGCUGGAAAUGUUCUGUUUCAUGAUCCUGAUGUUGGGUGUGGCGCCGUGUGUUCUGUUUCUGAAAAUUCAGUGAGUUGUCCACUUUUAUGUAUGUUGUAAUUGAAUAAAACGUCUUAAAAAGUGAAAAA
Long non-coding RNA from Felis catus (domestic cat), 668 nucleotides. RefSeq lists it as uncharacterized. Lineage: Eukaryota; Metazoa; Chordata; Mammalia; Carnivora; Felidae. The record is from RefSeq and is a predicted model, not a curated record. The transcript is spliced from 2 exons.